This is a non-coding RNA of Gorilla gorilla gorilla (western lowland gorilla), 263 nucleotides long. It matches the Rfam family "Metazoan signal recognition particle RNA". Rfam says of the family: The signal recognition particle (SRP) is a universally conserved ribonucleoprotein. It is involved in the co-translational targeting of proteins to membranes. NCBI's taxonomy places the organism in Eukaryota, Metazoa, Chordata, Mammalia, Primates, Hominidae. The record is from Rfam.
GCUGGGUUGUGGUGGCACAGGCCUAUAGUCCCAGCUACUUGAGAGGCUGAGGCAGCAGGAUCUCUUGAGCCCAGGAGCUCUGGGCUGUAGUGCACUAUGCUGGCCAGGUGUCUGUCUGCACUAAGUUUGGCAUGAAUAUGGUGACCUCCCAGGAGAGGGAGGUCAGAAAUGGACGCAGGUCAAAACUCCUGUGCUGGUCAGUGGUGGGGUUGCACCCAUCAUUAGCCACUGCGCUCCAGCCUGGGCAACAGUGAGGCCCUCUU